UGGGGAGGAGACUGCCGGUGCCAAGGCCACAUCGGGCAGCCGGAGAAGAAAGGUUUGCAGCGAGCCUGGCCUGGGGAAACCCGCCUUCUCCCUCAGCAGUCGCCAGGAGCCAUCACCCACGCUGUAGAGCACCGUGGUCAUCCGAUUGACCGUGUAGACCGUGUCCCCUCUGACCACGGCUGUAAAAAGCGCCCCCUUGCUAUUGACGAACUGGCCCGGGAGGGCCGUCCACUGCCCUGUGGCCAGGUUCAGGCAGUCGAUGGCGCAGUGAAGAAAGUCAUCGGAGGGCCCGUUACGGACCACGUAGAGGCUGUCUCGAUGGGCCACCAUGCAGUGGCCGUAGCUCUGAGGCCUCCUUAGGGAGGCCACGGGAAGCCAGGAGUCAGCCCCGGGCUUAUACUCGUACACCGCGGUGGUGUCGGCGGGCUGCCACAGACAGAUGAAGAGACGGCCGAGGGCUUGGGCACAAGGGACGCCGGCGGCGGGCUGGGGGAUGUCUGCUAUGAAGGUCCAGCAGCCAGAGGCAAAGUCGUACCUCUCCACUGACCUCAGGGGCACCCUCUGGAACUCUCCGCCGAUAGCGUAGAGGCUGCCCUCGUAGCCCACCAGAGCCACGUCAUAGCGAGCCUGGUGGGGGCUGGGGAACUCAUGCCAGGUCCCCCGGUCUGCGUCGUAGCAGAAACCCGGCUCCACGACUUCCUUGUUGGCCCCCCGGACGCCCCCCACGAUGUACAGCUUGUUCUCCAGGGUGGUGACUCCGGCCAGCAAGGUGCUGGCCUCCACGGGCAGGGACGACAGAGUCCGCCACACGUCGUCCUUCUCGUCCAGGGACUUCCAGGCAACGGAGAAACUUCCCUGUGGGAAUAUAAAUAGCUUCCUGACUAAAGAUAGACCCUGCUCAUGUGACCCCACAAACCCAGGAGGCAGAGAUUGAGCAGGGGAACCUGGAGAUCAUGGGACAGCCCUGUCUAGGGGCUCCCUCUGCGUCCUCCCAGGCUGAUCCCUAGGCCGGGUUCUUUUCUGGGAGAGAAGGCAAGAAGAACUAGCCACAUUUAAGGAGCCCCAUGAUUUUCUCCUCUGUAAAACUGAAUUGUGGGGUUGAAUCGUGGCUAUCAAACUCAAAUGGAAAUGGGAGUCACUAAAUCAUACAUGAAGAUCCCUGCAGGCCCCCAUUUACUUAGAAAACUACACAUUCUAUUUUUAUUUAUUUUGUUAGAUAUUUCCCAACUGAAUGCUAUCCAGCUCCAGAGAAAGAGCAGUUGGAGUCGUCUUUCACAUCAGCGUAUUUAUGGUUUUAUUUGGGGUCUGGGGUAUGUGUGAGUUUGCUCUUACAACAAUGACCAGUGUUUUGCUUGACAAUAAAAAAAGUGGGAAAAAUUCCCA
Molecule: long non-coding RNA, 1383 nt
Filed under: Monodelphis domestica (gray short-tailed opossum)
Lineage: Eukaryota; Metazoa; Chordata; Mammalia; Didelphimorphia; Didelphidae
Description: lncRNA (ENSMODG00000024594.3)
Source: RNAcentral